CAGUCGCCAGGGAAUACGAAGGGGGCUAGCGUUGUUCGGAAUUACUGGGCGUAAAGCGCACGUAGGCGGAUAUUUAAGUCAGGGGUGAAAUUCCAGAGCUCAACUCUGGAACUGCCUUUGAUACUGGGUAUCUUGAGUAUGGAAGAGGUGAGUGGAAUUCCGAGUGUAGAGGUGAAAUUCGUAGAUAUUCGGAGGAACACCAGUGGCGAAGGCGGCUCACUGGUCCAUUACUGACGCUGAGGUGCGAAAGCGUGGGGAGCAAACAGGAUUAGAUACCCCCGUAGUCCCUGUCUCUUAUACA
This 301-nucleotide ribosomal RNA is filed under the name uncultured bacterium. Its description in RNAcentral is "partial 16S ribosomal RNA". It matches the Rfam family "Bacterial small subunit ribosomal RNA", at positions 512 to 808 of the family's 1533-position model. The record is from RNAcentral.